This 12352-nucleotide long non-coding RNA is filed under the name Triticum aestivum (bread wheat). RNAcentral describes it as "long non-coding RNA (TAES_LNC009276)". Lineage: Eukaryota; Viridiplantae; Streptophyta; Magnoliopsida; Poales; Poaceae. The record is from RNAcentral.
UUAAUACCCCUCUGAUUAUGAACAUAAAUAUGAUUUGUGAGUAGUUACAUUUGUUCCUGAGGACAUGGGAGAAGUCUUGCUAUAAGUAGUCAUGUGAAUUUGGUAUUCGUUCGAUAUUUUGAUGAGAUGUAUGUUGUCUUUCCUCUAGCGGUGUUAUGUGAACGUCGACUACAUGACACUUCACCAUUGUUUGGGCCUAGAGGAAGGCAUUGGGAAGUAAUAAGUAGAUGAUGGGUUGCUAGAGUGACAGAAGCUUAAACCCUAGUUUAUGCGUUGCUUCGUAAGGGGCUGAUUUGGAUCCAUAUGUUUCAUGCUAUGGUUAGGUUUACCUUAAUACUUAUUUUGUAGUUGCGGAUGCUUGCAAUAGGGGUUAAUCAUAAGUGGGAUGCUUGUCCAAGGAAGGGCAGUACCCAAGUACCGGUCCACCCACAUAUCAAAUUAUCAAAGUAACAAACGCGAAUCAUAUGAGCGUGAUGAAAACUAGCUUGACGAUAAUUCCCAUGUGUCCUCGGGAGCGUUUUCCUUCAUAUAAGAGUUUGUCCAGGCUUGUCCUUUGCUACAAAAAGGAUUGGGCCACCUUGCUGCACCUUAUUUACUUUCAUUACUUGUUACCCGUUACAAAUUACCUUAUCACAAAACUAUCUGUUACCGAUAAUUUCAGUGCUUGCAGAGAAUACCUUACUGAAAACCCCUUGUCAUUUCCUUCUGCUCCUCAUUGGGUUUGACACUCUUACUUAUCAAAAGGACUACCAUAGAUCCCCUACACUUGUGGGUCAUCAGCAGCUACCGCCGGAGAGCUCUUGGUCCUUCCCCCAAAGAAAGCGUCGUCUGCAUUUGUCAAUUUCCUUCAGCAGUUUCUUGGGGACUCGCAGCGCUGUGAGGGGAAAGGUGGGCGGUGCCGAGAGGACGCAGCGGACAAGUACGCGCCUGCCCGCCAUGGAAAGCAUCCGUCCCUUCCACCCCGCAAGCCGGGCCCGGACACGGUCGAGGAUGAAUUGUAGGUGAACUAGGCGUAGCCGGCCCGUGGUGAGGGGUAGACCUAGGUAUCUAAUUGGGAAGUGGGCGAUCGGACCGCGGAAAGCGUGAAGAACUAGUUCUAGGUCGAUGUUGUUGCAGUGGAUCGGCGUGGCCAUAGAUUUAGCAAGGUUUAUCCGUAGGCCCGAGGUGUUACCGAAGCUAUGGAGGAUGAGCAUCAGGUGGUCAAUUUCCUCCUUGUCAGGGUUUGCAAAAAUUAUAGCGUCGUCGGCGUAUAGGCUCACUCUGAGCUUGAUCUCUCUACCAGGCACCGGCAUGAUCUCGAGCGCCUCCUCAGCGGCUUGGAGAAGGCUGUGGAUGGGGUCGAUCGCAAUUAUGAAGAGGAGAGGGGACAGGGGGUCUCCUUGCCGCAGUCCCCGGCGGUGGGAGAUUUGCACGCCUGGUGACCCGUUGAGGAGGAAGGCCGAGGAUGAGGUGGCGAGGAGUAGCGUGAUCCAAUCCCGCCAGCGUGCACUAAACCCUAGCCUCGUGAGCAGCUCCAGGAGAUACUCACGAGGCUAGGGUUUAGUGCAUGCCAUGCGUGAGGGGAAUCCAUCGCCGUCCUCAUCAUCAACCAUCCUCCAUCACCAAUUCCAUGAUGCUGACCGCCAUGCGUGAGUAAUUCCAUCGUAGGCUUGCCGGACGGUGAUGGGUUGGAUGAGAUUUAUCAAGUAAUCGAGUUAGUUUUGUUAGGGUUUGAUCCCUGGUAUCCACUAUGUUCUGAGAUUGAUGUUGCUAUGACUUUGCUAUGCUUAAUGCUUGUCACUAGGGCCCGAGUGCCAUGAUUUCAGAUUUGAACCUAUUAUGUUUUCAUGAAUAUAUGCGAGUUCUUGAUCCUAUCUUGCAAGUCUAUAGUCACCUACUAUGUGUUAUGAUCCGACAACCCCGAAGUGACAAUAAUCGGGACCACUCCCGGUGAUGACCAUAGCUUGAGGAGUUCAUGUAUUCACUAUGUGUUAAUGCUUUGAUCCGAUAAUCUAUUAAAAGGAGGCCUUAAUAUCCCUCAGUUUCCACUAGGACCCCGCUGCCACGGGAGGGUAGGACAAAAGAUGUCAUGCAAGUUCUUUUCCAUAAGCACGUAUGACUAUAUUCGGAAUACAUGCCUACAUUAUAUUGAUGAAUUGGAGUUAGUUCUGUGUCACCCUAUGUUAUGACUGUUAAUGAUGAACCGCAUCCGGCAUAAUUCUCCAUCACCGAUCCAAUGCCUACGAGCUUUUCACAUAUUGUUCUUCGCUUAUUUACUUUUCCGUUGCUACUCUUACAAUCACUACAAAACCCAAAAAUAUUACUUUUGCUACCGUUACUAUUACUUCCAUACUACUUUGCUACUAAAUACUUUGCUGCAGAUACUAAGUUAUCCAGGUGUGGUUGAAUUGACAACUCAACUGCUAAUACUUGAGAAUAUUCUUUGGCCCCCCUUGUGUCGAAUCAAUAAAUUUGGGUUGAAUACUCUACCCUCGAAAACUGUUGCGAUCCCCUAUACUUGUGGGUUAUCAAGACUAUUUUCUGGCGCCAUUGCCGGGGAGCAUAGAUCUAUUCUUUGAGUCACUUGGGAUUUAUAUCUGCUGGUCACUAUGAAGAACUUGAAAGACGAGAAAACAAAAAUUUAUCCCUCAACUACGAGGGGAGGUAAGGAACUGCCAUCUAGCUCUGCACUUGAUCCACCUUCUGUUUUGAGUAAGCUUGCGACAGCUAAACCUGCUUCUGCUAUUAAUUCUGAUAUGUCGCAUGUUAUUGAUGAUGCCACUUCUGCUAUGCAUGAUACUUAUGAUGAAACUACUUCUAUGCUUGAUACUACUGUGCCACUUGGUGAAUUUCUUGAUGAACAACUUGCUAGGGCUAGAGAGAAUGAAAGUAUUGAAACUGAUAAUAUUGAUGCCUGUUGUGCCUGAGGGCUAUGUUAUGGAUGAAGAAACUAAAAGAGACUUUCUUCCUUGCAAUGAUAGAAGUGAUGAAGAAAUUAUUAGCUAAGCUUAAACAAAAAACUCUGAAUGCUAGAAUGAAAUAUGAUCCUGCUUAUGCUACUUCACCUAUCUUCGUUACUGAUAAUGAUUAUGAAUUCUCUGGUGAUCCUGAUAUAAUUACUUUGGUUGAAUCUGAUCCUUUCUAUGGCUAUGAAUCUAAAACUGUUGUGGCACAUCUUACUAAAUUAAAUGAUAUAGCCACCCUGUUCACUAAUGAUGAGAGAACUCGUUACUUUUAUAUCCUUCAAAUAUUUCCGUUCUCAUUAAAGGGUGAUGCUAAGAUAUGGUUUAAUUCUCUUGAUCCUGGUUGUGUGCGUAGUCCCCAGGAUAUGAUUUACUACUUCUCUGCUAAAUAUUUCCCUGCUCAUAAGAAACAAGCUGCUUUAAGGGAAAUAUAUAAUUUUGUGCAAAUUGAAGAAGAGAGUCUCCCACAAGCUUGGGGGAGGCUUCUCCAAUUACUUAAUGCUUUGCCUGAUCAUCCUCUGAAGAAACAUGAAAUACUUGAUAUCUUUUAUAAUGGACUAACCGAUGCUUCCAGAGAUUACCUGGAUAGUUGUGUUGGUUCUGUUUUCAGGGAAAGAACACCGGAUGAAGCUGAGAUUCUAUUGAAUAAUAUGUUGACUAAUGAAAAUAAUUGGACACUCCUGAGCCAACUCCUGAGCCUAUUCCUAAACCAACUCCGAAGAAAAGGGGUGUUCUAUUUCUCAGUCCUGAAGAUAUGCAAGAGGAAAAUAAAUCUAUGAAAGAAAAAGGUAUUAAAGCUGAAGAUGUUAAGAAUUUACCUCCUAUUGAAGAAAUACAUGGUCUUAAUUUACAGCCUGUUGAAGAAAUAUAUGAUCUUAAUUCAUCACCUAUUGAAGAAACUCAUGGUCUUGAUAACCCGACAUAGGUAGUAAAGGUAAAUUCUCUCUAUAGAUUUGAUGAAGGUGAUAUUCCUCACUAUAAGUCUACUAUACAGUGCUUGGAUGAGUUUGACAAUUUUAUUGUUAAACAAGAAAAUUUUAAUGCUUAUUUUGGUAGACAAUUAAAACAAAAUGCUUAUAUGAUUGAACACUUGGGUGAUUAUAUGUCUAGAGUUAAAGGUGAACUUAAACUCAUUUGUAAACAUGGUUCUAUGGUUACCACUCAAGUAUAACAAGUACUUAAAGCUCAGAAUGAUUUGCUCAAUGAACUUAAUAGUAAGAAUGAUGAUUAUGCUGUUAGAGUGGCUACUAGAACUAGUAAAAUGACUCAGGAACCUUUGUAUCCUGAAGGCCAUCCUAAGAGAAUUGAGCAAGAUUCUCAAAGAAAUAAUACAGAUGCACCUAGUCCUUCUAAAAAGAAGAAAAAGAAAAAUGAUAGGACUUUGCAUGCUUCUAAGGAGCCUGUUGCUGAAAUAAAUGAGAAUCCUAAUGAUAUAUCUAUUUUUGAUGCUGAAACACAAUCCGGUGAUGAACAUGAACCUAGUGAUAACGUUAAUGAUGAUGUCCAUGUUGACGCUCAACCUAGUAAUAACAAUGAUGUAGCAAUUGAACUCGUUGUUUAUCUUGAUAACCCACAAUCAAAGAAUCAACGUUAUGAUAAGAGAGACUUUGUUGCUAGGAAACACGGUAAAGAAAGAGAACCAUGGGUUCAGAAACCCAUGCCUUUUCCUCCCAAAUCAUCCAAGAAAAAGGAUGAUGAGGAUUUUGAGCGCUUUGCUGAAAUGAUUAGACCUAUCUUCUUGCGUAUGCGAUUAACUGAUAUGCUCAAAAUGAAUCCUUAUGCUAAGUAUAUGAAAGAAAUUGUCACUAAUAAAAGAAAGAUACCGGAAGCCGAAAUUUCCACCAUGCUUGCUAAUUAUACUUUUAAGGGUGGAAUACCUAAGAAACUAGGAGAUCCAAGAGUACCAACUAUACCAUGCUCCAUUAAAAGAAACUAUGUUAAAACUGCUUUAUGUGAUCUUGGAGCCCGUUUUAGUGUUAUGCCUCUCUCUUUAUAUCGUAGACUUGAUUUGAAUAAGUUGACACCUACUGAAAUAUCUUUGCAAAUGGCUGAUAAAUCAACUGCUAUACCUGUCGGUAUUUGUGAGGAUGUGCCUGUUGUGGUUGCAAACGUUACUAUUUUAACGGACUUUGUUAUUCUUGAUAUUCCCGAGGACGAUAGUAUGUCUAUUAUUCUUGGCAGACCUUUUUUGAAUACUGCAGGGGCUGUUAUUGAUUGCAACAAAGGCAAUGCCACUUUUCAUGUUAAUGGCAAUGAGCAUACGGUACACUUUCCGAGGAAACAACCUCAAGUCCACAGUAUAAAUUCUAUUGGAAAAAUUCCAUCGAUUAUUUUUGGAGGUUUUGAAUUUCCUCUUCCUACUGUCAAGAAGAAAUAUGAUAUUCUUAUUAUUGGGGAUGUGCAUAUCCCCGUUGAGGUAACAUAGUGUUAUUCGAAAUUUCUCCGGUUCCAUGUUAGUCAGAAUGAGUUUGUUAACAAGACCUGAUCAACCUUGUUAGUGGAUUCCUUUUGAUGAGCAUGAGAUGGAUGAAGUUAGAAAGCACAACCUUCUGUACCCUCCUUCUACUUUCUGUUAUUUAGUUGAAAUAAAGUAAAAUAGUAUUUUCCUAUCUGUUUUCUGAAUUAUCCUUGCAAUAUAAAAAUACCCCGAAAAUAAAAGUUCUCCAAAUGCCCUGCCAAUUUAAUAUGAUUUCUUCUGGAAUAUUUGAGAAUAUCUCGCACUGAGAACACAGCAGGGGGAGCAAGCACCUGGCCACGAGGGUCCAGGGCGCGCCCACCCCUACAGGGCGCGCCCCCUGCCUCGCGGGCCCACGGUGGCUCCCCCCCCACUUAUACCUGCACCCACACACUUCUUCCUCCUCCCAAAAAAAUCGCCAUCCAGCUCAAGCACGAGUUCUAGCUCAUUUUGCUGCGAUUUUCGAUCUCCUUGCUCAAAGCACCUCUCACAAAACUGCUUGGGGGUAUUGUUCCUUGGUAUGUGACUCCUCCAUUGGUCCAAUUAGUUUUUGUUCUAGUGCUUUAUUCAUUGCAAAUUUGUGCUGCCUAGGUGACCAUGUUCUUGAGCUUGCAUGUUAAAUUUAUAUGGUUCCAAGUAGUUCUAAUGCAUGAUAUAGGCUCUAGGCACUUGUAGGAGUAGUUGCUAUCAAUUUUGUUGAGUUUGGUUUACUUUUACUUGAAGUUACUAAAAAUUUCAGAAAUUUUGCACAGGAAGAAAUAUGUUUAGGAAAAUGUACCAAGGUGGUCCUUCAAGGGAACAAGGACCCAGGCAUGCAAUGCGUGAUGCUGAUGAUGAGCCACCAAGGGACGCUCCAGUGCGGCCUUGUGAAUGGCCUUCAGAGGACUUCAUGGAUCGAGCAGGAAUUAAGGACGAAUUUAACGCAUAUUUGCGUAACGCUGAUCUUGUGAGCUUCGAGGCAGAAAAGUGCCGCGAGUACAACUAUCUCACUAGUUCCUUUGUGAGGAGGUUUGAAUUUUCAUCUUCACGCAAUUCUCAAACUGUCCUGUUUGAUCUUUAUGAAAAUUCUUAUACUAUGGACUUAGAGGAUUUUACCACUGCUUGCAAACUUCCACAAUGGGGUAGUCCUAGUGAACCUCGCAAAUCUGAAUUUAGAGAUUUUCUUGCUAGUAUAACUGUGGGUGAAUCUAGAGACAUAACACAAGCUACCAUAGGGAGUAUUCAUUUUCGUGCUAUACAUUAUUUUGCUCUCUUCAUAGGUAGGUGCAUAAAUGGUAAGGAUGAAGCAUGUCACAUGUAUGUCCCUGACCUCAGUGUUCUCAGGAGUGCUGUGUUAGGAGACAAACAUUAUAAUUUAGGAGCCAUUGUCGCACGUAGGUUGCAUAAUAAUAAAAUUAAUGGAGAUUUCUUUGGAGGAAUUUAUGCAACCCGUCUAGCUAAUUUUCUUGAGGUACCUAUACGUGAGUAUGAUGUUGAGCUGCCUAAUGUUCAUUUAGAUUAUAAUGCCAUGGUUCAUCAUCGUUUUCUUGAGAGGAACGAGCAGUCCCUCCAGUAUCGCUUAAUCUUUGACACACGUCGCGCUGUCCAUAUUACUCUCCCUGCUCCUGCCUUCUUUGAUUAUCAGGCAAAAUGAAGACAUGUUAUUACCAGAGAGGAGGCAGAUGAGUACGAGAGGAGGGCGGAGGCAGCUCGCCGCCACGCUGCAGCUCAGGAGGCAAUAGCCGCUGCAUCUCAGUACUACCCCGGUUAUAACUUUGGAUAUCCACCAGGCCAUCCGUGGCAAUAGACCAACUUAGGCCAAAAGCCUAAGCUUGGGGGAGUACGUAUCUCUCACCGACAUUACAUUUAUGUUCACACACUCAUUGCUAGAUGUCGGUGCUCAUACUCUUUCAUUGUACUAUCCAUGCUAGUUUAUUUUCUUUUUCUUGCUUUCUUCUUGUGUGUUUGAUAAACCUUAAGAAAAACCAAAAAAAAAUUAGUUGUAGCUUUUAGCUAGUUUACUUUCUUGCUGUAGUCGUAAUAAUUAAAAAGAAAACCAAAAAAGAUUUCCCGUUCUUCUUUUGCUUGUUGGGAGCUUUCCCGUGUAAAUAGUUUUAUUUCUUUUCUUUUCUUUGGGGGUCGAUAGGAGAGGACCAUGAUUAAAUUGUUGAAGUGGCUCUUAUAUGCAUUAUUGUUGAUUUAACCAAGAGCCCAUAUUGCCUUGUCUUCUCAUGUUUAUUGAAUGCUUGCAGAUUCCAGCUUAGUCCAAUGCACAUGCACUAUUAUUAUUCACAUCGUUCGGUCGUGCAAGUGAAAGGCAAUUAUGUUGAUAUAUGAUGGACUGAUUGAGAUGAGAGAAGCUGGUAUGAACUCGACCUCUCUUGUUUUUGUAAAUAUGAUUAGUUCAUCGUUCCUGAUUCAGCCUAUUAUGAAUAAACAUGUUUGCAAUGACAAUUAGAGAUUAUAGUUGCUUAUGCCAUGCUUAAUUAGCUAGGAGUUUAUAAUGGUUUACCUUGCGUGCCAACAUGCUAUUAAAAUGGUUGUGAUGUGGUAUGAUGGGGUGGUAUCCUCCUUUGAAUGAUUCAAGUGACUUGACUUGGCACAUGUUCACACAUGUAGUUGAAACAAAUCAACAUAGCCUUCACGAUAUUUAUGUUAAUGGUGGAUUAUAUCCUACUCAUGCUUGCACUCAAUGUUUAUUAAUUUUAAUGCAUGUUCAUGACUGUUGUCGCUCUGUAGUUGGUCGCUUCCCAGUCUUUUGCUAGCCUUCACUUGUACUAAGCGGGAAUAUUGCUUGUGCAUCCAAUCCCUUAAACCCCAAAGUUAUUCCAUAUGAGUCCACUAUACCUUCCUAUAUAUGCGGUAUCUACCUGCCGUUCCAAGUAAUUUGUAUGUGCCAAACUCUAAACCUUCAAAUGAAAUUCUGUUUUGUAUGCUUGGAUAGCUCAUGUAUCAACUAGGGAUAUCCGUAUCUUCCAUGUUAGGCGGGUUAUUCUCAAGAGGAGUGGACUCCGCUCCUCACUCACGAGAAAAUGGCUGGUCACCGGGAUGCCUAGUCCCAUGCUUUAUGCAAAUCAAAUCAAAAUAAUUUCAAACAAAACUCCCCCUGGGACUAUUGUUAGUUGGAGGCACUCGUUGUUUCGAGCAAGCCAUGGAUUGAUGCUUGUUGCUGGAGGGGAGUAUAAACUUUACCAUUCUGUUUGGGAACCGCCUAUAAUGUGUGUAGCAUGGAAGAUAUCGCCAUCUCUUGGUUGUUAUGUUGACAAUGAAAGUAUGCCGCUCAAAAUAUUAUUUAUCUCUAUUUCAAAACCGAGCUCUGGCACCUCUACAAAUCCCUGCUUCCCUCUGUGAAGGGCCUAUCUAUUUACCUUCAUGUUGAGUCAUCACCCUCUUAUUAAAAAGCACCAGCUGGAAAGCACCGCUGUCAUUUGCAUCCAUUACUGUUAAUUUAUAUUGGGUAUGACUAUGACUGGAUCUCUUUUACCAUGAAUUACAAUGUCUAGUCAGUUCUUGAUCUUUAAAGGUGCUCAGCAUUUAUGUUUUGCGGUCUCAGAAAGGGCUAGCGAGAUAACAUCUUGUUAUAUCAUAUUAUGAUUGUUUUGAGAAAGUGUUGUCAUCCGAGAUUUAUCAUUAUUGCUCGCUAGUUGAUUAUAGCAUUGAUAUGAGUAAACAUGAGACCUAAGUGUUAUUGUGAAUAUGGUUAGUCAUAAUCUUUGCUGAAAACUUGAAUGUUGGCUUUACAUAUUUACAACAACAAGAGCAAACAGAGUUUGUAAAAGUUUUUCUUGAUCACUUUCAGUUUAUCAACUGAAUUGCUUGAGGACAAGCGAAGGUUUAAGCUUGGGGGAGUAGAUACGUCUCCGUCGUAUCUACUUUUCCAAACACUUUUGCCCUUGUUUUGGACUCUAACUUGCAUGAUUUGAAAUCUUCACCGUUUGUUUUCUAUCAUUUUAAUAAUAUAAUAGAUAGAUAGAUGCCUGGGAGUUAGGUAACCCCUUCUCUCCAAAAUAGUGAAAGUAACCAAUUUAUAUAUAUAAUUUACCGCAAAUAGUGCAAGGCACUCGUGGGACUAGAUUGUAGCAUGGGAUUUUAGGAUACUAGGGGCUUUGUUCAUGCAUUUUCGCUUGAAGAAACAUGUCUGCUACUUUGGGGUGGUGCUCCAAUGGUACACCGUCACCAUUUUGAGGCCCUUGACAGAAAAUUGAGAGAUAUACUUUCAAUGAACGGCAGCAACAAAUAUACUCUUCCUUUUGAUAUUCUAUAAUAGAAGAAAACUUCUAUGCUACAUUGAUUUGAUCUCUCACACCAAAACAACAGCCGGACAAAUCACAGCUAAACCGACGAUGGGCAAUUUCACAAGCGCGGCAGGCCGCCGCGGCUUCGCACGGCUAGUAUAGUUUAGACCGGCAAUGGAUAUGUAUUGCUAUGAUUCAAGUAAGUUGUGUUAUAGUACAAGCAGUGUUUAUGGAUGAAUAUAUAGUUCUACUAUUAUGUUGAUUACGGUAUUUGUGGCCUUGCUAUGGAAAAAAAUCAGCACAUAUAGAAACCACUAAUGAAAGUUUGUUUCUUUCAUUUUUUUCAUCUCUUACACUUGUUCCCUAUGUUGUGCAUUCUCUUUAUUCGGAUACAACUCGUACAGACAGAAUUCAUGUUGCCAUUCACCACAAGAAAAACUGCGAACACUGAGUGGUCGGUUGUAUGUCGAGUGUUAUUUUAUGGGGUGCUCAGCAUAAAACCCAAUUUGCCGAGCGAAAACUGGAAACACUCAGCAUAAUAUUACAGACCUUCCUUCCUCUUCUUGCUGGUCAGCUCUUCUCUCGCUCUACUGACAACAUCACAUGAUGCACCAGUCUGUAAUAAUGCACAGACACUCUGUAUCCCACUACUUCGGCAAAUCAUUGCCUUGGGUCCCACUUCUAUAGCUACAUGGUCAUGUGCACAACUCCCACCACUCCAGCCAAUAUCAGUGAUGUUUCCCGUCGUCUUCGACACUCUCUUUACUUGUCCCGUGCCUCUUUCCGCUCACCCACGGUUGCAUCAUCGAUCGACCACUUUGCCGAGGCAUAUCACUUUGCAUCACUCCUACUUGCACACAUUGUAUAGUUGCCGAGUUUUUCUUAUCUCCAAAUACCAUCUACCAGGACAUCAAUAUCAUCAUAAAGUUACAGUAUAGCUAGAAAGACAAAAGAAGAGCCACAAAAAACUUUCUGCUGAUUAAGUUCUGUCACGUUACCGAAAAAGCUCACGCCCCGCUUUAUACAUAAAGCAAGUUGUGUCACGUUCAAAAUAAGAUUUCCGCGACCAUGGCCAAGGUUAAAUCAAUUUCGCCUGAAGUUGAACAAGAAAAUUAACUCAUUUGACUGACAACAAGGAUCACAAACAACAUUCCAAUUUAAAGAACAUAUUGACUUUUGUCUUGUUCCCAGGAGAAGCACAAAUUGGCUUCUAGCCACAAUAUAUUAAAAAAAAUGGUGCGUGGGAGGAGGGUCGGGGGAUGUUACAAAAGUUGCAAUCCACAUGAAAAUGACAGCGGCAUGACAAAGCAAAAUAAAAGAGAUAUUUUAGCUGCUCAUAUAUUAUCUCCAACGGCUAAAUAAAUCCUAUGCACAACCGGCACACAGUAUUAGAACGACUCAAUUACAAGCAAAAAAGGUUCUUACGUGCGAGUACCAAUUGCCUUAACAAGUUGUACAACUUGAACCCGAAAGAAAUAUUCUUGAACUUAAUCAUUUUACACGUUUGUACCACUAGCACCUAGUUGGCUAGCUACUAGGUACGUGUGUCCCGAUUAGUACGACCUGACCUCUUCUCGGACAAUGAAGAUGGUGGAGUUUUUAGGUAGGUUGUUCUUGCCACGAGAUCAAAUGACGAAGUUCCUCCACAUCAGCAUAGGUAAUCUCGAUCAGAAGAAAUAACAGGCCGCCCACGAUGAUAUCUGACUACCUCAACGCGCGCACAUGUGCUUCGAAUUUGACCAGUGUAAUUCGUUGAGAUAUAUUUUCUCUAUGAAACUUUCCAAGCUUAGUUAUACCUCAGAGAAGCAAUCGAUCUUGUGCAGGCAGUAUAAAUACACAACGUACGCAUGGUGGCAGUCUAUCUCAUCGUUACAGAUACAUCUUCCUUGAUUAGUUUUGUAAGGCUUAAUCAGCGAUGGAGUACUCGCCGAAGCUAGCAGUAGUGGUGCUCUUAGCUCUCGCGUCCGCCAUGGCGGUCACGGGCCAGAACUCGGAGCAGGACUUCGUGGACGCCCACAACGCGGCGCGCGCCGACGUGGGCCUUGGGGAGGUGACAUGGGACGCUACGGUGGCAGCCUUUGCGCAGGACUACGCGGAUCAGCGCCGCGGCGACUGCCAGCUGAUCCAUACUCCUGAUGGCCGGCCGUACGGGGAGAACCUCUACGGAGGCGGCGGCGGCGGGACCGAGUGGACGGCGACGGACGCCGUGAAUUCGUGGGUGUCGGAGAAGCAGUACUACGACCACGACAGCAACACCUGCUCGGCGCCGGAGGGUGAGUCGUGCGGGCACUACACGCAGGUGGUGUGGCGCGACUCGACGGCCAUCGGUUGCGCCCGCGUCGUCUGCGACAGCGGCGACGGUGUGUUCAUCAUCUGCAGCUACAACCCGCCAGGCAACUUCCCCGGGGUGAGCCCGUACUAGGCUAUAUGCAUCAUGCAUGCACGCAUGCGAGCGUGCAUGUACGUACGUAGCAGCGUAUUGCAUAAAUAAAAUGAUUAAGCUGAGAUAACCACAGUGUGAUCAGAUGUGAUGUAUAGUUAACCAGCCGGCCGGAUUUGACGCCAUAUAUUGUUUAGACCGGCUGUAUAUAUGUACUGUUAUGAUUCAGGUAUUAAGUUGUGUUAUUGUACGAGCAGUGUUUAUGGAUGAAUAUAUGGUUCUACUAUUAUACUGAGUAUGGUAUUUGUGCCUCGCUGUGGAAAAAAACCCAGCAUACAUAGAAACCACUAAUCAAAGUGUC